Long non-coding RNA from Setaria italica (foxtail millet), 921 nucleotides. RefSeq lists it as uncharacterized. The record is from RefSeq and is a predicted model, not a curated record. NCBI's taxonomy places the organism in Eukaryota, Viridiplantae, Streptophyta, Magnoliopsida, Poales, Poaceae. The transcript is spliced from 2 exons.
UUCCCCAGCUCAGGUUGAAUGGUCGAUAGAGCUUCCCGUCUGCGGCGGCCUUGCCGGAGAUCUCUUCUGAGUUCUGACGCCCCUGUACCCGCGGCGACAUCUCGUCCCACACCACCGGCUGGAGCUCCACCGCUCGACUCUCGGAUUCUUCCGCCGCGCGCGCAAGUGCGGAUCCUAGGCUCCCAGUGCAGAAGCAGUCCAGCAACUGCCGCCAAGGUCCCGUCCCGGCUUGUCGCGCGCGGCGCGCCGUCGCCGUGUGGCCGACGCCGACGGCAACCUCUGCCGCUGCAUUGGCGUCGUCCCCGACUCCGCGCCGGAGAAUUGAAACGAUGCGAUGCUCCGUUACUUGCUGGUGCAUCAGCAAGCAAAAGAGUACCAACUGGUUGCACAAAAGGUCGCUUCCUCACUUCGCUCUGUUGUACAGGAAAGAACGCAGUAUUUGUUAGGUUUGUAUCCGAUUCUCACCAUGAUAGCACUGCUGUCAGCACCCUAACCCACUGACUGGCAGGUUCAGUUUCUUCUCGUGCUGCUUAGCUGAUCGGAUAGCUACCCGACUUCAAUUUUCUUUUCCCGCCGUCAAGGAUCCUGGACCAACUUGUCACCCUUAGUAAUCUGGGAUUUUUUUUUUUUGAUGUGUUCUUAUCGUUUAGAGCAGGCACCGUACCGUGAUGGCGUCAGGCACAGGCACUGAAGUUUGGUGGAGGCUAUACGUUCGGAGCAACAAGCAAGGAAAUCUGGUUUCAGAUAAUCACCAAAGGGAAACGGAACUACGUACUGCAAGAUAGGCUGCAGCCGGCUAAGUAUGCAGUGUAUCUGAAACAAGUGGAGUUGUUCUUUUGAGAUAAACAUUCAUUCAACUGACCCCAAUCCUCCUCCUACCAACUACAAUAAUAUCCUAGAAGAUUCAACAAAAUUUUGAUA